RNAcentral lists this microRNA precursor (67 nucleotides) under Calypte anna (Anna's hummingbird). RNAcentral describes it as "mir-33 microRNA precursor family". It matches the Rfam family "mir-33 microRNA precursor family". The record is from Rfam by way of RNAcentral. Lineage: Eukaryota; Metazoa; Chordata; Aves; Apodiformes; Trochilidae.
CGGGGGUGCAUUGUAGUUGCAUUGCAUGUGUCAGACCGGAGUGCAAUGCCCCUGCCGUGCAGCCCGG